GGAAUAUUGGUCAAUGGACGGAAGUCUGAACCAGCCAUGCCGCGUGGAGGAAGAAGGUCCUAUGGGUUGUAAACUCCUUUUGUUCCAGAGUAAUAAGGGGCAUGCGUGCUCCGAUGAGAGUAUGGGACGAAUAAGCAUCGGCUAACUCCGUGCCAGCAGCCGCGGUAAUACGGAGGAUGCAAGCGUUAUCCGGAUUUAUUGGGUUUAAAGGGUGCGCAGGCGGCGCGUUAAGUCAGCGGUGAAAUCUCAUGGCUCAACCAUGGAACUGCCGUUGAUACUGGCGUGCUGGAGUACGUACGGCGCCGGCGGAAUGUGUCAUGUAGCGGUGAAAUGCUUAGAUAUGCCACAGAACACCGAUCGCGAAGGCAGCUGGCGAGGCCGGUACUGACGCUCAGGCACGAAAGCGUGGGGAUCAAACA
Molecule: ribosomal RNA, 419 nt
Filed under: uncultured bacterium
Lineage: Bacteria
Description: bacterial SSU rRNA
Rfam family: Bacterial small subunit ribosomal RNA
Source: RNAcentral